Molecule: long non-coding RNA, 1529 nt
Filed under: Ursus maritimus (polar bear)
Lineage: Eukaryota; Metazoa; Chordata; Mammalia; Carnivora; Ursidae
Description: lncRNA (ENSUMAG00000001286.1)
Source: RNAcentral
GCUGAUUCUCAGUGAGGCCCGCAUCCUCUCUAGUCUAGUCCCUAAAGAGAAAGAGGCCUGUGCCCAGGAGAACUCUGCUGGACCCUGCCAGCUCCCUGAACCUCACCAUGCCUCUGCUGGACGUUUUCUGGGCUUGCUUCAGGAAAGUGAAGUGCUUCCCACUGCUGCAGAGGAGGAAGAAUACCGCUCCUCCCCCAUCACGAUUCCAGCACUUCUUGCUGAGCACAGUUCCUGCUUUGCAAAAGCGACUUCUGGAGACACAAGAUCUGUGGGCUGCCCAUCCUGGGAGAAGAACAAACUUCUCCAUUUCAGAGACACCAGCUGCAGAGUCUAAAAAGAAACCCUUCAGACCCUGAAAUAGUGACCCCCUCAGAUGAAUGCACCUGCAGCUGCCAAGUUGCCUCAUUAAAAUGUCUGUGCCAGGCUUAGUCAAUAGGGCUGAAUCCUGGAAGGGUGGGCACCAGGUGGCUGAGAGGUCUGUGGCUUCUGGAGGAAAGAGGAGUGUCUUUUAGGGGUUGGGUCCGGGCAGAAGAAGUUGCCACCUACAAAGGUGGGCUGGGACUAGUUUUUGUCCUACUUCUUUAGGUUAAAGUUUGAAAAUGUCUAAUUAAGGGCAAACAUGAACACAUUGUCUCAGGCCAAUCCAAGGACCAUCUGGCACAAGUUAUGACUUUAUGUGGAUGUGGUAACAGAAGGAGCAAGGCACUGGGAAUCAAAGGACCUAGAUUUUAGUCCAAAUUUCAUUACCAGUUCACUGUGUGAGCCCACAUAAGGAACUUCCUAUCUCUAGACCAGGGUCUGCAUCUAUAAUAUGGAACUUAUUGCGUGGGGCUCUUGUAUACAUCACACAAGAUAGUGCGUUAAGAUGUCAAAAUGCUGAACAAAUGUUAUUAUUUCUGAGAUCUAGCUCAGGGAAGGAGCAGAACUCUUUGGUUUUUUAUUCAUUUAUUUUUGGAAUAUGUAAUACCUUCACAUGUCUCAAACUUCAAGAGAUAUGAAGAUAUAAAGUCUUCCCACCUCUGUCUCUCCACCACCCAGCAAUCCUCUUGGAGGUGACCAAUGUUACCAGCUUCUCGGGCCCUUGAUGAGUUUAAAGGUCUAAAGUGAGUUUGCUAGGCAGCACGUCAGUGGAGGUGGCUGACUUAUUUGGAGUGGGGGGGGUCCUCCUGAGGGGAACGUGUGGAAAAGGCAAUGGAGAAAGAAUUGUGGAGCAGGAAAUGUGGGACAGCAGUGGAAGAAGCACUAGUUUGGAUGUCAGGAGGCCUGGGAUCCAGUCUUGACUGUUCCACUCAUGGUUGAAUUAUCUUAAGAACCUUCCCCUCUCGGGGCACCUGGGUGGCUCAGUCGUUAAGCGUCUGCCUUUGGCUCAGGGCGUGAUCCCGGAGUUCUGGGAUCGAGCCCCGCAUCAGGCUCCUCUGUGGGAAGCCUGCUUCUUCCUCUCUCACUCCCCCUACUUGUGUUACCUCUCUUGCUGGCUGUCUCUCUCUCUGUCAAAUAAAUAAAUAAAAUCUUAAAAAAAAAAAAAGAAU